GAGGCAGCUCUGUGAGCAUAGGGCCCAGAACAGCAAGCGCUCAGUAACUGUCAGGGGUGGAUUUAGAGCCUCAGACCAGUGCAUUCGUGAAUAUCGGGCCUGAAGCAGGAUCCUAAGACCCAUGGCCAUGUACCAGCACCUGGGAACUCAACCUGGGAUGAACCUGCAUCUUAGUCAUUCUGGGAGCCCCGUGGAUCUCACCUAGUGUGACAACAGAUUGAAGGCUCUUUGGGAAAGCUGACUGUAAUUUGGAUAUGUCAUGUGAGGGGACCUGCCCUAAUCCAAACCUGGGCUGAAGCUGCUGCCUCUUCUGUGGUGGUGUGGGUAGGAGAAGAGGUCCAAUAAUUUCUCUUAGACAGAGAUUACACAGUUCUUAUUUUUGAAACAAAUUGACUACAUGAAUAUGUGUUAUCUAUUACCCAGUCAUAAAAAGAUUUUCCCUUCUAAAGCUUACAGUCAUUUCAGAGAAACAAGGUAUCCACAUAAGAUUAGAAAAUGGUAUGUGGUUAAGGGCCAUAGCCUUGGUUCAGAAAAAUGGCCCAAACUUUGUCUUGGAAAAGAGAGGGGUCAUUGAAACGUAGAGCUACUGGAGAUGGUCUCCUAGAGAUGAUGAGAAUUGAGCUGGACCUUGUAAAAUGAGGCAGAUUUGGAUACAAGGUAGAGAGU
RNAcentral lists this long non-coding RNA (666 nucleotides) under Equus caballus (horse). RNAcentral describes it as "lncRNA (ENSECAG00000053460.1)". Lineage: Eukaryota; Metazoa; Chordata; Mammalia; Perissodactyla; Equidae. The record is from RNAcentral.